Papio anubis (olive baboon) is the source of this 148-nucleotide unclassified non-coding RNA. It matches the Rfam family "Metazoan signal recognition particle RNA". Rfam says of the family: The signal recognition particle (SRP) is a universally conserved ribonucleoprotein. It is involved in the co-translational targeting of proteins to membranes. The eukaryotic SRP consists of a 300-nucleotide 7S RNA and six proteins: SRPs 72, 68, 54, 19, 14, and 9. The record is from Ensembl. Lineage: Eukaryota; Metazoa; Chordata; Mammalia; Primates; Cercopithecidae.
GCCAGGCAUGGUGGUGUGUGCCUGUAAUCCCAGCUACUGGAGAGGCUGAGGCAGGACAAUCGCUUGAGCCCAGGAGUUCAAGGCUGCAGUGAGCAGUGACCAUGCCACUGCAUUCCAGCCUGGUCAACAGAGUGAGAACCUGUCUUUA